Molecule: transfer RNA, 75 nt
Filed under: candidate division BRC1 bacterium ADurb.Bin183
Lineage: Bacteria; Candidatus Sumerlaeota
Also listed under: 2 other names
Description: tRNA-Val
Rfam family: tRNA
About the family: Transfer RNA (tRNA) molecules are approximately 80 nucleotides in length. Their secondary structure includes four short double-helical elements and three loops (D, anti-codon, and T loops).
Source: RNAcentral
GGGCGGUUAGCUCAGCGGGAGAGCAUCGGCCUUACAAGCCGGGGGCCACAAGUUCAAAUCUUGUACCGCCCACCA